Molecule: ribosomal RNA, 629 nt
Filed under: uncultured bacterium
Lineage: Bacteria
Description: bacterial SSU rRNA
Rfam family: Bacterial small subunit ribosomal RNA
Source: RNAcentral
UGGGCGUAAGCGUGCGUAGGCGGUUUGUUAAGUCCGAAGUGAAAGUCCAGGGCUCAACCUUGGGAAUGCUUUGGAAACUGGCAGACUUGAGUGCUGGAGAGGCAAGGGGAAUUCCACGUGUAGCGGUGAAAUGCGUAGAUAUGUGGAGGAAUACCAGUGGCGAAGGCGCCUUGCUGGACAGUGACUGACGCUGAGGCACGAAAGCGUGGGGAGCAAACAGGAUUAGAUACCCUGGUAGUCCACGCCGUAAACGAUGAGUGCUAGGUGUUGGGGGGUACCACCCUCAGUGCCGAAGGAAACCCAAUAAGCACUCCGCCUGGGGAGUACGGUCGCAAGACUGAAACUCAAAGGAAUUGACGGGGGCCCGCACAAGCAGUGGAGCAUGUGGUUUAAUUCGAAGCAACGCGAAGAACCUUACCAGGGCUUGACAUCCCUCUGACCGUCCUAGAGAUAGGGCUUCCCUUCGGGGCAGAGGAGACAGGUGGUGCAUGGUUGUCGUCAGCUCGUGUCGUGAGAUGUUGGGUUAAGUCCCGCAACGAGCGCAACCCUUGAUCUGUGUUACCAGCACGUAAUGGUGGGGACUCACAGGUGACUGCCUGCGUAAGUCGGAGGAAGGUGGGGAUGACGUC